This 217-nucleotide ribosomal RNA is filed under the name uncultured Desulfocapsa sp. RNAcentral describes it as "partial 16S ribosomal RNA". It matches the Rfam family "Bacterial small subunit ribosomal RNA", at positions 1167 to 1382 of the family's 1533-position model. The record is from RNAcentral. Lineage: Bacteria; Pseudomonadati; Thermodesulfobacteriota; Desulfobulbia; Desulfobulbales; Desulfocapsaceae.
AGGAAGUGGGGGAGUGACGUCAAGUACCUCAUGGCCUUAUGACCAGGGCUACACACGUACUACAAUGGCCGGUACAAAGGGCAGCCACUUAGCGAUAAGGAGCCAAUCCCGUAAAGCCGGUCUCAGUCCGGAUUGGAGUCUGCAACUCGACUCCAUGAAGUUGGAAUCGCUAGUAAUCGCAGAUCAGCACGCUGCGGUGAAUACGUUCCCGGGCCUU